This 465-nucleotide ribosomal RNA is filed under the name uncultured bacterium. Its description in RNAcentral is "partial 16S ribosomal RNA". It matches the Rfam family "Bacterial small subunit ribosomal RNA", at positions 338 to 795 of the family's 1533-position model. The record is from RNAcentral.
CCUACGGGUGGCAGCAGUGGGGAAUUUUGCGCAAUGCUCGUAAGAGUGACGCAGCGACGCCGCGUGAAUGACGAAGGCCUUCGGGUCGUAAAGGUCUUUCGACAGGGAAGAAAAUGCCUAUAAGUAACUGUGUAUGUAUUGACGGUACAUGUAUAAGCAGCCCCGGCUAACUCCGUGCCAGCAGCCGCGGUAAUACGGAGGGGGCGAGCGUUGUUCGGAGGGACUGGGCGUAAAGAGCACGUAGGCGGUGUUGUAAGGCAUUAGUCAAAGACUAGAGCUCAACUUUAGUAAGGCUAGUGAUACUAUAAUACUAGAGUAUCAGAGAGGAUUGCAGAAUUCCUGGUGUAGCGGUGAAAUGCGUAGAUAUCAGGAGGAAUACCGUUAGCGAAGGCGGCAAUCUGGCUGGAAACUGACGCUGAGGUGCGAAAGCGUGGGUAGCAAACAGGAUUAGAUACCCGAGUAGUC